AUGCAUUUCGCGUAUCAUAGGCUCUCCAAUUUAUUUGGUGUAUCCUUUAGCGAGAGUGCAUAAAUGAAGGCUGUUUAUUCAGCAGUGGCCAGACAACCACGAGAUGGAUCCACUGAUGAAUUGCCUACUAAUUUCAUCUUACAUUU
Molecule: small nucleolar RNA, 146 nt
Organism: Tripterygium wilfordii
Lineage: Eukaryota; Viridiplantae; Streptophyta; Magnoliopsida; Celastrales; Celastraceae
Product: small nucleolar RNA snoR143
Exons: 1
Source: RefSeq, a predicted model, not a curated record